GUAGUAAUAUUAAAUAGUUUUUUAGUGUUUUAAGCUCAAAAAAGCAAAAAUUAUAAAAGAAAUAAUUGUUAAAAGAUGGGUUUGUGGAAGAUUAGGUUGUUGGUAGAAAUAAAAGUUUACCAAGCCUUUGAUCUUUAGUUGGUCUUAGAGGACGUACAACCACACUGGAACUGAGACAAGGUCCAGGCUAAUUUUUUGGCCAGCAGUGAGGAAUAUUGGACAAUGAACGAAAGUUUGAUCCAGCAAUAUUAUGUGAAUGAUU
RNAcentral lists this ribosomal RNA (262 nucleotides) under Skeletonema japonicum. RNAcentral describes it as "partial Bacterial small subunit ribosomal RNA". It matches the Rfam family "Bacterial small subunit ribosomal RNA", at positions 160 to 394 of the family's 1533-position model. The record is from RNAcentral. Lineage: Eukaryota; Bacillariophyta; Thalassiosirophyceae; Thalassiosirales; Thalassiosiraceae.